GUGGGGAAUAUUGGACAAUGGGCGCAAGCCUGAUCCAGCCAUGCCGCGUGAGUGAUGAAGGCCUUAGGGUUGUAAAGCUCUUUUGUCCGGGACGAUAAUGACGGUACCGGAAGAAUAAGCCCCGGCUAACUUCGUGCCAGCAGCCGCGGUAAUACGAAGGGGGCUAGCGUUGCUCGGAAUCACUGGGCGUAAAGGGCGCGUAGGCGGCCGAUUAAGUCGGGGGUGAAAGCCUGUGGCUCAACCACAGAAUUGCCUUCGAUACUGGUUGGCUUGAGACCGGAAGAGGACAGCGGAACUGCGAGUGUAGAGGUGAAAUUCGUAGAUAUUCGCAAGAACACCAGUGGCGAAGGCGGCUGUCUGGUCCGGUUCUGACGCUGAGGCGCGAAAGCGUGGGGAGCAAACAGGAUUAGAUACCCCAGUAGUCC
Molecule: ribosomal RNA, 425 nt
Filed under: uncultured Methylobacterium sp.
Lineage: Bacteria; Pseudomonadati; Pseudomonadota; Alphaproteobacteria; Hyphomicrobiales; Methylobacteriaceae
Description: bacterial SSU rRNA
Rfam family: Bacterial small subunit ribosomal RNA
Source: RNAcentral